AAGACUAUACUUCAGGGAUCAUUUCUAUAGUUUCGUGACUUGAGAAAUGUUGUUUCUAAAGUGUUUGUCUCGCCAACAUGAGAUGAGUCGUGAUAUUUCUUCGAGCAUGAAGCUGAUUAGAAGAGUAAUGAUUCACGUCAUAUGUGCUCUGUCAUUGAUGAUUGUUCUUUACUUCUUUGUGGAGUAUGAGAAGGGAAUAUGAUCCGAGUGGU
Molecule: small nucleolar RNA, 212 nt
Organism: Larimichthys crocea (large yellow croaker)
Lineage: Eukaryota; Metazoa; Chordata; Actinopteri; Sciaenidae
Gene: U3
Rfam family: Small nucleolar RNA U3
About the family: Small nucleolar RNAs (snoRNAs) are involved in the processing and modification of rRNA in the nucleolus. There are two main classes of snoRNAs: the box C/D class, and the box H/ACA class.
Source: Ensembl